UUCCCUCUAGCUCAAGUGGUAAAGCAUCUGCCUGCAAUGCAGGAGACCUGGGUUCGAUCCCUGGGUCAGGAA
Molecule: transfer RNA, 72 nt
Filed under: Ovis aries (sheep)
Lineage: Eukaryota; Metazoa; Chordata; Mammalia; Artiodactyla; Bovidae
Rfam family: tRNA
About the family: Transfer RNA (tRNA) molecules are approximately 80 nucleotides in length. Their secondary structure includes four short double-helical elements and three loops (D, anti-codon, and T loops).
Source: Rfam by way of RNAcentral